GUUUUUGUAGUUGAAUUACAGCGGUAGCUUUUCAAGCUACAAGUCCAGGUUGGAGUCCUGGCAGAAAUA
RNAcentral lists this transfer RNA (69 nucleotides) under Amolops mantzorum (Kangting sucker frog). RNAcentral's name for it is "tRNA-Glu". It matches the Rfam family "tRNA". Rfam says of the family: Transfer RNA (tRNA) molecules are approximately 80 nucleotides in length. Lineage: Eukaryota; Metazoa; Chordata; Amphibia; Anura; Ranidae. The record is from RNAcentral.